UUUUACAGGCUUAUAUAGCUGUCAUCUCCUGGAUCGCAGGCCAGUAGUCACUCCACCGCUGUACAAACGACAUAGAAGAACUUCGGUACGGCUGGAACGGAAACUGUACUGGCUUCGCUUUACUUUUGCUAUGCCUCUGUAUCAGUGCCCGUUCGAGUUGAUACCGUUAGCGACAGAGAGCGAUUUUAGAAAACAGAGCCUCGUCGCCUUUUGCAGGAGCGCUUCCUGUCUAAUAACCUGCCGAGUUCACAAAAAUAGCAUCCAAGAAAGGUAACAUCCACAACAAAUUCUCCUGUAACUCUUCCUUCCCUGCGGAAGGCAAGGAUAUAGGUGUCCCCAUAGCUUUAAUGAGCUGUCACAGACCGUUGUUGCUUCCACCACAAUGCCCUGGAUGGCUUUUAAAUUUUGGAUGUUUUGGUUACCUUUUCCUUGACAGGAUGGACGGCCCAAACAGACCGCAGGAGCCCAGAGCGGCAAAAGCCAGCAGCGCCCAGGGCGUGCAGAAUGUGGUGGACCUCAGCGACGUGAACAUUGCCGCGGUUGUAAUGGUGCUGCUGCUGUUGGGACUGAUGAGGGCGGCCAUGACCCCAUGCGUCUGCCUGUAGAGGUAGCUUCGGCUCGUCUAUUGGUACACUCGACGAGGCGUAAUGUCGUCAGCCUAUGUCGUCAGCCUUUGCGGACAUAACAGUGGCUGUUGUGCCGGUGUACGUUACGCUGUAUAGUCUGCUGUAUGGAUAUCGGCCGUCGGAAGGACGGCCCGUCUUAACUAGGACCUUGAAGUGCUCGUUAUUCACUCUUUAAUGUAUUCUGUGUGAUUCUUGUAUCAUAGUAAUUAUGAAGUGGUCGUGAGCAAUGGGUUCGCCGGUUAUCUGUUGCUUAGCCCUGCUUAGGCCUGCUUAGCCCUUUCUGGCAACUUGGUGUGAUUUAUCCGCGUUCCAUCCUUAGCUUUGCUACCAACCACGUGAAACAUAAACGGUUAUACGUAUAUCCAUGAUGUAUGGGGCGUACUUGUCAUGGGUUAAUUUGGGUUACAGGUCAUUGACCAUUGUAACAGAAGGCAAGUCACUGCAGCCUUUGUAAGCACAGGGGAGAGCACCCACCUUGCCAUGUUCAACCUGGACCUGUGCGGGGGAACUGCACAGAGUGCACGUGGGGAGGCUCUGGUGGU
Molecule: long non-coding RNA, 1168 nt
Filed under: Volvox carteri
Lineage: Eukaryota; Viridiplantae; Chlorophyta; Chlorophyceae; Chlamydomonadales; Volvocaceae
Description: long non-coding RNA (VCAR_LNC002477)
Source: RNAcentral